GGAGAGAUGGCCGAGUGGUUUAAGGCUCUAGUCUUGAAAACUAGUGUGGUUUAAUAACUACCAAGGGUUCGAAUCCCUUUCUCUCCU
This 87-nucleotide transfer RNA is filed under the name Cosmarium blyttii. Its description in RNAcentral is "tRNA-Ser". It matches the Rfam family "tRNA". Rfam says of the family: Transfer RNA (tRNA) molecules are approximately 80 nucleotides in length. Their secondary structure includes four short double-helical elements and three loops (D, anti-codon, and T loops). The record is from RNAcentral. Lineage: Eukaryota; Viridiplantae; Streptophyta; Zygnematophyceae; Desmidiales; Desmidiaceae.